GGAAACUUGUGCUAAUACCGAAUGUGCCCUUCGGGGGAAAGAUUUAUCGCCAUUAGAGCGGCCCGCGUCUGAUUAGCUAGUUGGUGAGGUAAAGGCUCACCAAGGCGACGAUCAGUAGCUGGUCUGAGAGGAUGAUCAGCCACAUUGGGACUGAGACACGGCCCAAACUCCUACGGGAGGCAGCAGUGGGGAAUCUUGCGCAAUGGGCGAAAGCCUGACGCAGCCAUGCCGCGUGAAUGAUGAAGGUCUUAGGAUUGUAAAAUUCUUUCAGUAGGGACGAUAAUGACGGUACCUACAGAAGAAGCCCCGGCUAACUUCGUGCCAGCAGCCGCGGUAAUACGAAGGGGGCUAGCGUUGCUCGGAAUUACUGGGCGUAAAGGGAGCGUAGGCGGACAUUUAAGUCAGGGGUGAAAUCCCGGGGCUCAACCUCGGAAUUGCCUUUGAUACUGGGUGUCUUGAGUAUGAGAGAGGUAUGUGGAACUCCGAGUGUAGAGGUGAAAUUCGUAGAUAUUCGGAAGAACACCAGUGGCGAAGCGACAUACUGCUCAUACUGACGCUGAGCAGCGUGGGGAGCAAACAGGAUUAGAUACCCUGGUAGUCCCCGCCGUAAACGAUGAUGCUAGUGUCGGGAUGCAUGCAUUUCGGUGACGCAGCUACCCAUAGCAUCCGCCUGGGGAGUACGUCGCAGAUAAACUCAAAGAUGGACGGGGCCGCCAAGC
This 719-nucleotide ribosomal RNA is filed under the name Brevundimonas mediterranea. RNAcentral's name for it is "bacterial SSU rRNA". It matches the Rfam family "Bacterial small subunit ribosomal RNA", at positions 152 to 930 of the family's 1533-position model. Lineage: Bacteria; Pseudomonadati; Pseudomonadota; Alphaproteobacteria; Caulobacterales; Caulobacteraceae. The record is from RNAcentral.